Molecule: ribosomal RNA, 497 nt
Filed under: uncultured bacterium
Lineage: Bacteria
Description: partial 16S ribosomal RNA
Rfam family: Bacterial small subunit ribosomal RNA
Source: RNAcentral
GAUGAACGCUGGCGGCGUGCCUAAUACAUGCAAGUCGAGCGAACGGACGAGAAGCUUGCUUCUCUGAUGUUAGCGGCGGACGGGUGAGUAACACGUGGAUAACCUACCUAUAAGACUGGGAUAACUUCGGGAAACCGGAGCUAAUACCGGAUAAUAUUUUGAACCGCAUGGUUCAAAAGUGAAAGACGGUCUUGCUGUCACUUAUAGAUGGAUCCGCGCUGCAUUAGCUAGUUGGUAAGGUAACGGCUUACCAAGGCAACGAUGCAUAGCCGACCUGAGAGGGUGAUAGGCCACACUGGAACUGAGACACGGUCCAGACUCCUACGGGAGGCAGCAGUAGGGAAUCUUCCGCAAUGGGAGAAAGCCUGACGGAGCAACGCCGCGUGAGUGAUGAAGGUAUUCGGGUCGUAAAACUCUGUUAUUAGGGAAGAACAUAUGUGUAAGUAACUGUGCACAUCUUGACGGUACCUAAUCAGAAAGCAACGGCUAACUACGUG